This 537-nucleotide ribosomal RNA is filed under the name uncultured bacterium. RNAcentral's name for it is "bacterial SSU rRNA". It matches the Rfam family "Bacterial small subunit ribosomal RNA", at positions 46 to 566 of the family's 1533-position model. The record is from RNAcentral.
GCCUAACACAUGCAAGUCGAGCGGCAGCACAAGUGAGUUUACUUAUGAGGUGGCGAGCGGCGGACGGGUGAGUAAUGCCUAGGGAUCUGCCCAGUCGAGGGGGAUAACAGUUGGAAACGACUGCUAAUACCGCAUACGCCCUACGGGGGAAAGGAGGGGACCUUCGGGCCUUCCGCGAUUGGAUGAACCUAGGUGGGAUUAGCUAGUUGGUGAGGUAAUGGCUCACCAAGGCGACGGUCCCUAGCUGUUCUGAGAGGAUGAUCAGCCACACUGGGACUUGAGACACGGCCCAGACUCCUACGGGAGGCAGCAGUGGGGAAUAUUGCACAAUGGGGGAAACCCUGAUGCAGCCAUGCCGCGUGUGUGAAGAAGGCCUUCGGGUUGUAAAAGCACUUUCAGUAGGGAGGAAAGGGUGAGUCUUAAUACGGCUCAUCUGUGACGUUACCUACAGAAGAACGGACCGGCUAACUCCGUGCCAGCAGCCGCGGUAAUACGGAGGGUCCGAGGCGUUAAUUCGGAAUUACUGGGGCGUAAAGC